AUGCUCUAUUGUAAUCUAAGGGGUCAUUUUAGGUUAAAGUUUUGCAUUUGUUGUAAACCUCUCUAUUUGAGUUGUGUACAUGUACACAAUAGUUCAUGUUUUUUCCUGAUUUACAGGAUUCAUUUUGAGAACCGUGACAAUAAAGUAGCUAAUGCUGCCGCUUUAUUCAGGUCACUUGUCGGAGGCUUUGUGAGGAAAUGCAAAUGUUCUGACGGGGGACUGAGGAGUGGGCUGAAAGUCCCGGGUUCCUCUGCAGUUCUCGCUCUCACACUGUUGAUUACCAGUGCGUUUCUGUUCACAUUCACCAUGCAGCUCUAUGGAGCCCUGAUCGUGUUUAUGACUCUGUCCACAGCAUGUGGCCUGAGAUGCUACACGUGCACAUUGGCCGACCCCAAAUCCUGCACAGACUCCAAAUCCUGUACCUUCAUCUUCAACCGUUGUUUUUCUCUCAAAGCAGAAGGUUAUAAUUUGGUGACCAAGGGCUGCCAGAGCAGCACAUUGUGUGUCGGUGCCAUGGACUGCUGUGAGGGAGACCUGUGUAAUGGAUCCGUACCCACUGGAGCCAGUGUCCUCCUCCUGCUGGCAUCUUCAGCCAUCCUCACGCUCUUACUUUGAGUCCCCGUACAGCUACUACUGUAUAACUGAGGCGAUCCUGUUAUGUCUACGCCUGUAUCUGUAUAAACUCCAAAAGACAGAAGGGUUGAAUUUCUCCGGCACCUUCAUUUGUGGCUUUUUUAAGACUAAUGGGAAUGCGGGGGCUCAGCAUCAAUCCACUCUGCUAUUGGUGUCUUGUUCACGAGACAUCAGACCUUACAGUACAUUUUAUAUUUAGAUAUGUUUUAGGACACAUUUCAUAAAACGUAACUGACGUCCGAAUCAGACACUUUGACACUUUGUGAGUUGCCAGUUAACAUUUGUGAAUAACAGCACAUUGUGUCAGUUUCAAACUGACUGGAACCGGAUCAGUCACUCUUUUCCUGCUGAGCUCCACGCAUACACAUACCCUGUUAAAAUUAGAGUGACCCAUGUCACAUUUCUUUGUAUCGCUACAUGAAGUCGUUUUCAGUGGCCAUGUUGAGAAGCGUACUGCAUUUAUAAACAUUUAUAACCAGUUAUCAUGAUGGUACAGUUUGUAAAAAAUUAAAUGUUCUGAUGAGCUAUGUGUCUGUUAGUGUAUUUAAACAAAAGAACAUCACUCAGUUAUUUUACUCUUUAAAACAGAUUUGUAAAUAUUUUUUUACAAAAAUCCCCCAGAUGGAGCAUUUGCAGAAUUUUAACCUCAUGCUUUAUGUUUCCUACUUAAAUAGUUGCUGUUGCUAAAGACAAGACACAAGAAUGCUGGGAUGGUUAACUGGUGUCUGUGUGGAAGUCAUUUCACAUCUGUGAUGUAGUGGAGUGAUAAGUAUUAUUCUCUUUAAACUCAAGAAGGAUGUAUAAAAAGUAAUACAACAGGCAGAAUAAGUCCAAAUAUAAAUGUACUUAAUUACUGUGCUACCUCUGGGAAAAUUUAAUUUUAAUUAUUUUUUUCUUCAGCUGUCUCAUACAGUAUCAGAACCUAUUCCAGUUCUUUUGAACCACUUUCAAUUCUAAGAAAAGAUGUUUUUACUAAAUGUGAAUCAGUUAUUACGAUACAAAUUUCCCCAUGCUCUUUUACGAAGUCUGAAGCAGUUGUCUGUCAUGAUGUUUCACUUACCCAUUGAUCUUUUUGUAACAGCCAAGAAUAAAAGCCAAAACUGCAGUGUAGCUGAGUUUAGU
This is a long non-coding RNA of Betta splendens (Siamese fighting fish), 1755 nucleotides long. Lineage: Eukaryota; Metazoa; Chordata; Actinopteri; Anabantiformes; Osphronemidae. The record is from Ensembl.